Long non-coding RNA from Cygnus olor (mute swan), 5262 nucleotides. RefSeq lists it as uncharacterized. The record is from RefSeq and is a predicted model, not a curated record. The transcript is spliced from 3 exons. Lineage: Eukaryota; Metazoa; Chordata; Aves; Anseriformes; Anatidae.
CAGGAAGGCAAGAAGGGGGGCAGGAGGGCACGCGCUGGACGCCGAAGGGCACGGCGUGGCCGCCCCGGGUGACGCCGGUUGCGCCCUCUCAGCAGCCCCGCCGGGUACGGGACGGGCUCUCAGGGAUCGCCGGUGUCCCCGCUGUCCCCCACCUCCCCUGGUGGCAGCCGCCAUCGCCUUAUUUGGUGGGGUUUCAUUAGCUGCAUGCCCGCCGUCGGGGCUGGGAGCACGCAGGGCUCCUGCACUUCUCGGCCCCGGGUGUGAGGGGCUGGGGGGGAGCGGCAGGGAGCGGUCGGGGUUCGUGUGCUGAGCCCCGGGACAGAGCCCAGGAGGGUCCCCAGCCCCGGGCAGGAGCCUGCUGCUCCUCUCCGAGUGCCCCCCGACGGGAGGAGCCGCUAAUGAACGAGGGAAAAGGGGCACUUGGAGCUCUUCGGGGAGGUAAAGUGCCGUAGGGCGCCCAGUCAGCAGCUGUGCUUUGGGACCGACCUGCUGCCGCUGGAGCUUGUGCCGGUGCUUAUUUUGGGAGGAUAACUGCAGAUUGAUGAUGGUUUUUAUCCUUUUUUUCCUCCAGUUUCUCACUAACAGCGCUUUAAAAUAAAAAAAGAAACCCUUCCUUAUUCAGGCACGAGUGGUUUGGAUGUGUCUUCCCUUUGUGCAGUUGUUUAGGAUGGAGUCUCUUAGUGCAGCAACAAGCUUUUAAUGCUGGUUCAACUGCAAUUCUACAACUUCACAUAGUGUUAGAAAAUGAAAUUGUCGGUUGCUUUCCAAGCAACUUCAUCACAAGCAAACACUGAAAAACCGAAGUGGCAAAGAAAUAACUCGCACAAUCGGAGAUAAAGAAGCCAGGAACCAUAUGGUGCAGCAGUUAACUUAGCAUGUAUUAUUAAUGCUGCCAGGAACAGGGAAACAAGCUGCUGUAAAAACAAACAUCCAAGAUGGCAUAUCACACAAAAUAAAAGCAAAUGCAGGAUGGAUAGCAAUCUGCCAUAAGACAUUUAAGUACUGGGGGAGAAAAAUGUCUUAAGGCAAGGUAUACCAUCCUUACUGUAAGAAAAAAAAAUUAAUCACGCUUUGCCAGACUAUGUUAAUAGUGAGUGGUCUUGCAGUACGGUGUACUGCAAACAAGCAGCGGCAAAUGUGGCCCCCAUUCUCAUGGCUGUGGCUUGCUGGGGCUGAGGAGUCAAUAAACCGGUUAGCAAACUGGUGCUUCCAACGCUACCACAACUCCCAGCGCAGACAUCUGUGCGUCAAGUUGCCAGUGGCUGACUGUGCGAUAGGAAGCUGGCAGGAAAAACCUCCCAAAUGGCUGAAAAGAAUCGCUGAAUUAUUUGGCCGCUUUCUGGACUCCUUUUGGAGAGUGCAGAUGUGCACGAAUGCCAUUUGUUAUUUUCCAACACUUCUGAAGUACUAAAGAUGUCAGAGAAAGUGCUGGAGGUAUCUGAGCCAGCAGACGCAACUGCAGAUGAUGUCAAAAUGUUUAAUGUAGCAUCUCCAUAUUGUGGUAUACACAACAUCUGUGAGAGUGAGUGAACAUUUUUGCAUGAAGGCGAUCAAGCAAAGGCAGGUUUUCAUGGUCUGAGCAGGCAGCAGGGAAGUGUUCGGGUUGCUGUUAGGCGUGGGUACCAUUUCUGGGAAUCCACAGCCUUGCAUCUUACAGAAAAUAGCUAUCUUUUAAUCUGAGCCAUUGGCAAAAGAGAGCCACAUAUCACGGAAGAGUAGCGAGUGGUUGGUGGAGCACCAGGUCGCAGCCUGAGAAUCUCUGGCCAAUUGUCAGUGCAUCAUUUUAUCCAUAGAUGCAGGCAGGGAGCUGACCUGGCAGCUUAUCGGCCACGUACAAUGUGCCCAUUAUAUAGAGUGGUGUGUUUACAUUGGGGUGAGUUACUCCUGCCCUGUGCGAGGUCUGGAGUGAAGUGAGUCACAGGUACAGCAAGCUGGAAAAUUGCAGCAGAUUGCAGUCUGGUGGCAAAGACUUGCUCUCCAAGACUGUCCACUUGCAGGACGCUGAAUGCCCUGCUGGAUCUGCCUCCUGUUCACGUUCAGCACUUGGCUGCUGCAAGCUUGAUACAUUAACGCCUGGUUUAUGAUCAACGCUUAGCUCUCUAUUUUGUUUAAUCAGUCCUGUGUCUCACAUGAGGCUAAAAAGGUCAGAGUCCACCAAGCCCUUCCUUCAGCUCAGCGGUGUUUAAGAACACCUUGUGGCUUUGGCUGUCAGGCAGCAGGACAAGAGGGCAUCCAUCGCGCAGGCACGCAGUGGGCUGCUGGGGCUGAAGGGCAGCUUGGGUUAUAGCUGCGCUGUGCCCCGUCAGUCUGUCUGACUUCCUCUGGCUCUUCUUCUGCCUUUACUUCACCCACAAAACUCCUCCCUCAUCCUUUUGUGCAUAUUUUUGAAUCAGCUAAGCUAUUUCUGUUGCAGUCGUAUGUUUUCCCUGCUAUCAAUAGUAUACACAUUCCUUGUUUGCCACAUGGAUAUAUUUCUUCCCAAGCUGCUUUCUGAGUCUCUAUCAUUACAAAGACAACUGAUUUUAUGUAUAAAUUCUUUUAAAUGUUUUGUCUCAUAAACAAGGUUUCCAUGCCUAGGCAUGAAGCACAGGUUCCUACCGUGUUCCAAAAUAAGGAAGUGAGUAGGAUUUAAACAAAGAGAAUAAAGUCAUUUAGAUUUGUGUUCCAAGGAAACGCUUAUGAUAACACAGGGCAGAGUUUCUGCACCAGCUCAGUAUUUUGCUUGAAAUUAAGCAUGUUUGGUAGAGAACUUGAUUUUAAAACUUCAGGCUUGAAGAUCUUCUAAUGUUUAAUUAGCCAAGAAAAAACGCCUAUGGGAUAUUAGAAAUAUCCCCAAAGGAUGAUAAUUGUGAAUGCACAAUAACCUUCUGAGUUUCAGCAGUUAGUUAAUUCUUACCAUGUGCUGCUUUUAUUCUGUGAUGAGGGAGGACGGGGCUCUGAGGCCACAUGCCUGCAGAUUCCGUUCCCUCUUUCUCAGGGGAUUCCCACUGCUUGGAGAAGCAGCUCAUGCAUGUUAGGGGAAAAACUGAAUUCCACUGCUCCCAAAAAAAGCAUGCAAGGAGGGUUGUGAGAGUUUUCCUUUGUAUAAUUUUUUUUUUUCUCAAUUUUGCCAUGAGGGACAUGCUCCAACAUUUUAAAUUCAAUGCAGUUGUUAUUACUUAGCAGGGAAGGUACAGGAAUGAGAGAGGAGGACUUUGAUAUCAUCUGCUGCAGAAAAAGGAGGAGAGGGCAACAAUCUACUACCAGUGAAUGUUUGUGGCGUAAGAGCAGGAGUAAGGACAAAUUUUAUAUUCAUUGGUGUUCAAAGGGAAAGACGAGCUAUAUGGAGCUAUAUGGAAAACAAGAUUGUAAGCAAGCAAGUCUAGAAAGCAAGAAACAGGAAGAAUAGUCUGAAGUAAAUAAAUAGAAAUGCGGCCUCUGGGAAAGGAGAUGUGGGCAAAUGGAAUCACUAUUGUAUAAGAUGAUCAGCUGUUCUAGGAGAAAACAAUGGCAAAAAAAGGCCAGAACAUAAUAUUAUUUUUCUGAUAUUGUUUCUGUCAAGUAGAAGAAAAGAGUCCGAUGCUGAGAUUCUUCUGAAAUCCCCAAUUUAUCCUCCUCAUUCCUACAUGCUCAGCCUUAUUCUCCUGGCUGUGUUUCUUCAAAUCAUUUCUUCUACUCAUUUUUCUAUUUCCUAUACUCAUAUCUAAAAUGCUUUGGCAGUAAUAAUGUUUGGUCUAAGAUGCCAGUGAUUCACAGCCAAAAUUUCUCACUUGCAAAUUCUCAACGAUCUCCAUAUAUUGUUCUCCUUCUAGCACAAGUGUCAUAAAUUUUCUUAUUCUUAAGAGGUUACAUCUGGAUGUUAAUAGCAGUUUUGCCCGAGUAUUGAUUUAUCCCACUAUCUUGUCAUCUGUGCACAGGCUAAUACAAAGCAGUUCUGACUUUGUGCUAUUCACCAAGUUUCUCUUUGACUCUGCCAGCAGUUACAGUGUUUUGCAGCAGUAAAUUGUCUACCUCACUGGACUCAUCAAGAAAAAAAAAAACAGUUUCUCAGUCUGCUCGCACAGGCUCUUAAAUACCUCAUUAAUUAAAUGUUAGGUGUGAAACUACAGUAAGAAGCCCUGUUAUUUGCUGGUAUUCUUUGUGAUAGGAUAUUCUGGCCAGAGUUGAUGUUAUAACUGCUACAAACACAAAUCUCCAUUCUGAUUUCUCCUGGGUAUAAUGAACCAGCAAGGAAUGCAAGUGAAAAAACAAUUGUCAGUGAAUAUAAUGGAAAAAAUCACAAGUAAUUCUUAGAACAGCUUAAAAAGAAAUAGGUGGAACACCAUGAGGAGGUGAACUCAUCAGUCUAGUUCUUGUUUAAAAAAAAAAAAAACAACAAAGAACCACAACAACCAAAAACAAAAAGCAAACAAUAAGAAAUACUACAAGGGUAAUGCAGCUGUAGGCCGUGCUGGAUGUCACGCUGCUCAGGUGGUAGAAAGUCAUUUGGCUUUCAGCCCUUUGCCUCACAGCUUACUCAGAAUCUGUGGUAUUUUCUGUAACCACAUACUUUAAUAUGUGGCAUUGCCUUUCUACUGUAGCUGAGGUUUAGCUAAAAUUAAACUGUCUUCAAACCAGUAAAUGUGAAUUUUAGGUCUUUUUGCUCGGGUAGUAACAACAUCAAAGAAAAACUUGUUCCCUAUAUGAUCCAUCUUCCAUCUUAUCCCAUCCUUGUCUUUCCUUCUUCCUGUUUUCUUCUGUGAGCCUCUAGAUCGCCUCAUCCGCUUUGUCUGAAUAUUCCUCCAAAGCUUUGGAAAAUGUCAAAUGCUAAUAAGUUUCUAUCAAAUACAUGUGAACUGAGUCCAUUGUCAUAAAGCGGCCCAAUUUACUAAAUUGCCAUCAGGAAUGUAAAGGAUACCUCUGGUGGCUCAAGGGCCAGAUGAGUGCUGAACAUCAAAACUUUGCCCCAAGCAUGAGAGAUUGCAGGAAUUAUUUUACCUUAUUUUUUUUUUUGUAUAUUAAUUUUACACUAUUGGAAAUGGUGGGUCCCUUUUUUCUUUCCAAAGAAAAACAUACACAUUCAGGAAGAUGGUUUUCUUAGAUGUAUAAAUAUAAAAAAGCUGUAUAACAGAAAAAGGCAAGUUAUAAACAGAAAUUUGGCCUUGACUGAAAGUAGUAAUGGAAUCAUAUAAUCACAGAAUUGUAGAACCAUAAUAUCCAGAGUUGGAAGGGACCCACAAGGAUCAUCAAGUCCAACUCCUGGCUCCACACAGGACCACCCAAAAAAUAAGCCAUGUGUCUGAG